UGUGUCUUUGUGUUGUGUAAUAUA
RNAcentral lists this non-coding RNA (24 nucleotides) under Arabidopsis thaliana (thale cress). The record is from RNAcentral. Lineage: Eukaryota; Viridiplantae; Streptophyta; Magnoliopsida; Brassicales; Brassicaceae.